This 240-nucleotide unclassified non-coding RNA is filed under the name soil metagenome. RNAcentral describes it as "partial contains 5.8S ribosomal RNA, internal transcribed spacer 2, and large subunit ribosomal RNA". The record is from RNAcentral.
AACCAUAGAAACCUGCGGAGUACCUGCGGAGGGAUCAUUACAGAGUUGCAAAACUCCCUAAACCAUUGUGAACGUUACCUAAACCGUUGCUUCGGCGGGCGGCCCGGGUCCUUCCCGGCGCCCCUCGGCCCUCGCGGGCGCCCGCCGGAGGUAAACCAAACUAUUGCAUUGUAUGGCCUCUCUGAGCCUUCUGUACUGAAUAAGUCAAAACUUUUAACAAUGGAUCUCAGAUCGGAAGAG